GCUUACUAUUUAUCAGCAUAUAUCUAAACACAUAACAAUACAGAAAAGAUUAGCACGGCCCCUGUGCAAAGAUGACAUGAAAAUUUGUGAAACAUUGCCUAUUUUU
Small nuclear RNA from Cebus imitator (Panamanian white-faced capuchin), 106 nucleotides. Lineage: Eukaryota; Metazoa; Chordata; Mammalia; Primates; Cebidae. The record is from RefSeq and is a predicted model, not a curated record.